RNAcentral lists this transfer RNA (68 nucleotides) under Oligoryzomys stramineus. RNAcentral describes it as "tRNA-Trp". Lineage: Eukaryota; Metazoa; Chordata; Mammalia; Rodentia; Cricetidae. The record is from RNAcentral.
AGAAGUUUAGGAUAAUAAGUCCAAGAGCCUUCAAAGCUCUAAGCAUACAUUAAAUUGUUUAACUUCUG